AAUGAGUUCACGGAAUCUGAUAUGGGUGGUCACCAAAAUGCAGGUUCUUGUGGAGAAAUAUCCUUCUUGGGGAGACACUAUUCAAGUUGAGACCUGGGUGAGCUCAUCUGGUAAAAAUGGGAUGCGACGGGAUUGGCACAUUCGUAACUCCCAAACAAAGGAGACUAUCAUGAGAGCUACUAGUGUCUGGGUAAUGAUGAACAAACAAACUAGGAGAUUAUCUAAAAUACCAGAAGAGGUGAGAAUGGAAA
Molecule: unclassified non-coding RNA, 251 nt
Filed under: Hevea brasiliensis (rubber tree)
Lineage: Eukaryota; Viridiplantae; Streptophyta; Magnoliopsida; Malpighiales; Euphorbiaceae
Source: RNAcentral